UAGGGAAUCUUCCGCAAUGGACGAAAGUCUGACGGAGCAACGCCGCGUGAGUGAAGAAGGAUUUCGGUUCGUAAAACUCUGUUGUUAGGGAAGAAAAAAUGUAUAGUAACUAUAUACAAAAGAGACGGUACCUAACCAGAAAGCCACGGCUAACUACGUGCCAGCAGCCGCGGUAAUACGUAGGUGGCAAGCGUUGUCCGGAAUUAUUGGGCGUAAAGCGCGCGCAGGUGGUUUAGAAAGUCUGAUGUGAAAGCCCACGGCUCAACCGUGGAGGGUCAUUGGAAACUAAUAAACUUGAGUGCAGGAGAGAAAAGUGGAAUUCCUAGUGUAGCGGUGAAAUGCGUAGAGAUUAGGAGGAACACCGGUGGCGAAGGCGACUUUCUGGCCAUAUACUGACGCUGAGGUACGAAAGCGUGGGUAGCAAACGGG
This 429-nucleotide ribosomal RNA is filed under the name Verrucomicrobiota bacterium. RNAcentral describes it as "Verrucomicrobia bacterium partial 16S ribosomal RNA". It matches the Rfam family "Bacterial small subunit ribosomal RNA", at positions 355 to 776 of the family's 1533-position model. Lineage: Bacteria; Pseudomonadati; Verrucomicrobiota. The record is from RNAcentral.